UUGUGUAUAUGUACCACAUCUUUAUCCAUUCAUCUGUUGAUGGACAUUUAUGUUGUUUCCAUGCCUUGGUUAUUAAGGGCUGCUCAGUGCCCAUGUGUGUGGGGAGCGGGGAAGGAGAUGCCCUCGCCUCCCUACUUCAGGCAAAGAAAUGCAGAGGCUGGCAGUUAACAGGCUGGAGCUUGCAGUGGUGCAAGGCCCAGGGUGGAGGAGCCCUGACAGCGUGUACCAUGAUGAUGAUCAGGCUGUGACUCUACUGAGUUCUCCAAAGUGAGGGUUUUUUUUUGUUUGUUUGUUUUUCUGUCUAGUGUCUUACAGUGGGCUGGGAGAACAGAAGAAUGAGGGAAUUAUCCCCAAGGGAAGGUGAAAACCUACAGAGCGUUCUCCAGAGAAGCGGAACCAAGUAGGAUUCCAGGUUUCUCUGUCCUGAGCUCGAGUGUCUCCAGGAAGGAUGACUGAGGAAGAGACUGGUAUACAACAACCUGGGAGAAGAGAUGUAUUGAGUCUGCUGCACAGAUGAUUGAGCUGAGAGAGGAAAAGGGUCCUGUGAGAGAGAGCCUGAGAGGCUGGGGUGGAGCUCGUCCCCUCCAUCCUUGGUUCAGAGCAAGGGCUGGCAUCUCAGCUGAUCCGGCUGCACUGACUCACUGGUCCUGAGACCUGGGGUAAGUUGCCUGAGCCUCAGGCUCCUUCUGUGCAAAAUAAGGAUUGCAGCAGUUCCUCCUACAAAGUGUGAUUGUGAGAUUUAAAGGAAGAAUCUAUAGAAAUGACUGACCCAGGAUAGCUACUGCAAAAAUAUCAGCCCAAACUUACCACCAAUAUGGGUCAGCUUCCUUUCUUCUUUGGCAAAGCUCAGGGGGUAGAAUUCCUCUGAAGGCAGUCAGUUCACAAAGCACAGUGAUUGAGGAUGUUGCCCCCUGAGUAGCCUACCUGUGUUUGAAUUCCACUCUGAAAACUCCUGAUUAGUGACUCUGGGCUAAUCAUAUAAAUUUUUUGUUAUAGCUUCAUUUCCUUAUCUGUAAACUAAAUAUAAAAAUUACACCUGUUUCCUAAUAUAAUUUUCUAAGUCAGCUAUAACAUUAAAUAAUAAGUAAAUGAAUUUAUUUAAAAAAUUGCACCAAUCUCAGUUUCCACUGUGGCCCAGCAGGUAAAGAACCCAACAUAGUAUCCCUGAGGAUGCAGGUUCCAUCCCUGUCCUCACUCAGUGGGUUAAGGGUCCGACGUUGCCAUAAGCUCUGGCAUAGUUCAAAGAUACAACUUGGAUCUCGCAUUGCUGUGGCUAUGGUGUAGGCUGGCAGCUGCAGCCCCUAGCCUGGGAAUUUCCAUAUACUGCGGGUGUGGCCCUAAAAAGAACAACAACAACAAAAAAAGUUGCACCUAUCUCAAGAGGUCGAUUGUAAGGAUUACAUGCUAUACUAUAGGUAAUUUCUUAGCACGGGGCGGGUACUGAAAUACGUAUGCCUUAAAAAAUAGAUGCAAAAGUUCCUUUUUCUAAAUUGAGGUAAAAUGCGCAUAAUAUGACAUUAACCAUUGGAAACAGGAUUAAGAUGGCGGAAUAGAAGGACUGGAGCUCAGCUUCUCAUAAAAACAACAAAAUUACAAUCAAAUGCUGAACAACCUUCAACCAAAUGGACUGGAAACUUUCAAAAAGAUAUCCUGCUCCAGAAGACAAAGAGGAGGCCACAUCAAGAGUUUUGUUGCAGUAUAAUUCACACAUAAAAUUGUAAGAUAUCCAAAAAAAAAAAAGAAAGAAAUUAACCAUUAACUAUUUUAAAGCAUACAAAUCAGUGGCAAUUAGCACACUCACAAUGUUGGGUGAGCAUCACCUCUAUCUAGUUCAAGACACUGUCCUCACCCAGAAGGAAACCCUGCACUCCUUAAAUAGUUACUCCCCAUACAACUCACCCUCAAGCCCCUGGCCACUGUGAGUCUGCUUUCUAUCUCUAUAGAUUUGGCUAUUUUGAAUGUUUCAUAUAAAUGGAAUCAUGCAAUAUGGAACCUUUUGUGUCUGGCAUCUUUUACUUAGCAUAACAUUUCAGAGACUUGUAUGUGACUGAAAUUGACUGAGGGGCUGUUUCUCUUCAUUGUGAUCAUUCAAGUCUCAUCACUAAACAUAAGGUUUUUUGGCUUAUACAAGUCAAAUAAAAAUCUUGAAGGGUUGCCCUCUACAUCACUGUGGUCAAUAGCCCAUGCCCAAGAUGUCUGCAGGUCAGACUGCUGACUGUGGUUCCAUAGUCAUACCCACUAUAUCUUUGAGACUCAAGUGUGGCCACUUGGUCACUACGACCCCGGGAUCCCAUCAUUUCGCUCUCUGAGAAGGCCAGCAAUAAGGAAAGGACCAGAAAUUGCACGUUCUAACUUCAAAUGAAUAUCUGAAGUUUCAGACAUAGAUGUCUGGAUACUGAUAUGGUAUAAAGGUUUGGGUUAAUGCCCUCAAUCAAUUUUUUUAAAAAAAACAAAACCCAUCCUUCAAGUCAGUAAGGAAGGUUGAAAGCCCAACAGAAAAAUGGGCAAAGGAUAAAGUUUCCUUAAAAAGCAACACAUUUAGUUCUUUAAGGAACCUCCAUACUGUUCUCUGUAGUGGUUUCACCAGCUUACAU
Non-coding RNA from Sus scrofa (pig), 2594 nucleotides. NCBI's taxonomy places the organism in Eukaryota, Metazoa, Chordata, Mammalia, Artiodactyla, Suidae. The record is from RefSeq and is a predicted model, not a curated record.